RNAcentral lists this ribosomal RNA (433 nucleotides) under uncultured bacterium. Its description in RNAcentral is "partial 16S ribosomal RNA". It matches the Rfam family "Bacterial small subunit ribosomal RNA", at positions 29 to 507 of the family's 1533-position model. The record is from RNAcentral.
AGCGAACGCUGGCGGCAUGCCUAACACAUGCAAGUCGAACGAGACCUUCGGGUCUAGUGGCGCACGGGUGCGUAACGCGUGGGAACCUGCCCUUAGGUUCGGAAUAACUCCCCGAAAGGGGUGCUAAUACCGUAUAAUGUCUUCGGACCAAAGAUUUAUCGCCUUUGGAUGGGCCCGCGUUGGAUUAGCUAGUUGGUAGGGUAAAAGCCUACCAAGGCGACGAUCCAUAGCUGGUCUGAGAGGAUGAUCAGCCACACUGGGACUGAGACACGGCCCAGACUCCUACGGGAGGCAGCAGUGGGGAAUAUUGGACAAUGGGCGAAAGCCUGAUCCAGCAAUGCCGCGUGAGUGAUGAAGGCCUUAGGGUUGUAAAGCUCUUUUACCCGGGAUGAUAAUGACAGUACCGGGAGAAUAAGCUCCGGCUAACUCCGUG